UUCUAUGAUUCUAUAUUAUUUAAAUUGCUAGUUUGCAUUAUAACUUAUACUAUUUCCGUAUGAUUGUCCAAUGCCCUCUGCACAGCAUGUUUAGCUUGCAACUGACUUAGGUUCUUUCACGCAUAAUGUUUAAAGUCAAUAUUCAAUUUGUGUAACUGGAUGGGAUAGUAUAGAAAAUGUGGUUUUAAGAACCAACUGACACAAUAAACAAACUGUUCUAAAAUAAGCAGCUAAUAAAUGAAAUUGUCCAAAAUUUCAUUCUAAGCAUACUAUAAUGAUCAUGCAUGCAUGACUCUAUUUAGAGAAUUUUCUAUGAACCCAAACCACAAUUUCAGCACUGAAGUUUGAAUUAAAAAACAUGCCAGUGCUUCUUGAAAUCAGGGAAUUUAUUAAUAUAUUUUAAUGGCCAGCAAAUCUCUGAAAUCAAAUGAUGCAAAAAGCAUAAUCUAGAACUGAUCUACACAGACAUCAUAAUCACCUUUGUGACAAGUAAGUGUACUGUCACGUAGUAUCAUGACCAGCCUGAGAUCAAAAAGCAUAGGUAGAUGAACUUCUUGGAAAUAAAGAUACAGUUUACAUGCAACUGUCUGCGAAUAUGAUUAUGGCACACAACACCACACAGUACCCUAAAAACAAAACCAAACAAAAAAGGCUGUGAAACGCUGUAACUUCAAAAGUAUAUCAGAUCUGGUUCCUGACACCAUUACUGGGGCCUUUUGAUAUCAUAUAGGUAUCAAAUAGACACAUAAACCACAUGUUCUGCAAGUAUUUAUACUUCCAGAGAUGCCACAGUCAACAGUGUACUUACCUUGGAAUGG
This is a non-coding RNA of Pelodiscus sinensis (Chinese soft-shelled turtle), 818 nucleotides long. Lineage: Eukaryota; Metazoa; Chordata; Testudines; Trionychidae. The record is from RefSeq and is a predicted model, not a curated record.